This 20-nucleotide microRNA is filed under the name Pinus taeda (loblolly pine). RNAcentral describes it as "pta-miR952b". Its record names the gene pta-miR952b. The record is from miRBase by way of RNAcentral. Lineage: Eukaryota; Viridiplantae; Streptophyta; Pinopsida; Pinales; Pinaceae.
AACUGAGAAUGCCAUUGGUG